AAAAAUGAUUGGAGUGUUUG
Molecule: microRNA, 20 nt
Filed under: Corchorus olitorius
Lineage: Eukaryota; Viridiplantae; Streptophyta; Magnoliopsida; Malvales; Malvaceae
Description: hsa-miR-548ah-
Source: RNAcentral